UUUUUUUUUGGAAAACAUCAGAGAAAGUCUGCGUGGAAACACUUUGGAUCUGCGGACAUUUUGGACUCGUUCAAUGAGAACCAGGGUAAUCCUGGCUUGUCUUUAAAAGCAUGGAAUCGGUCGGAUACCUGUUUCCACUUAUUAUUUUGAGCCUCAUUAACCCGUCAGAGCAAGGCUUGUUUGACUACUUCAAACUGGAGGAUUGG
This is a long non-coding RNA of Cyprinodon tularosa, 206 nucleotides long. RefSeq lists it as uncharacterized. NCBI's taxonomy places the organism in Eukaryota, Metazoa, Chordata, Actinopteri, Cyprinodontiformes, Cyprinodontidae. The record is from RefSeq and is a predicted model, not a curated record. The transcript is spliced from 3 exons.